Molecule: long non-coding RNA, 2467 nt
Filed under: Salmo salar (Atlantic salmon)
Lineage: Eukaryota; Metazoa; Chordata; Actinopteri; Salmoniformes; Salmonidae
Description: lncRNA (ENSSSAG00000098658.1)
Source: RNAcentral
UUUUUGAGUCCAUUUUUAAUUGUUGCGCUACUGGUGCUGCCUGUUGAUGUUAGAUAGGCAGCUACAGUAGCUGAAUGAUGUUAACAUCUUCGGGUUUUGUUUCAUUAAAUGUAUUUUAUUUCAUCUGGGUGCUUGCAUCACCUACUAACACCCUGGUACUACCCGUAGCUCACGUUCUCAGUCCGAGAAAACACAGAGAGAGAAAGAACAACUUUUCAGAUGGUGCAUUGGAGACUGAUGUGUUCCUGUCCUGUCUUUUCACAAUACUAUUGCAGCUGUGCUAAUGAAGACGGGAUGCAGAUGAGGGCGGAGGUCAUCUCCGUAGCGUUCGACCCCAGCACCCGCAGCAUGCCACUCUGACUGCCACAGGUUGAAGUCACACCCAAGUUAAUUCUUCAAUUAGCAUGAGCCAGAUAUUCGAGGAAGAUCGGAGGGCCCGCCAAUCGAUGUCCAAUUAGCGAGGCCUCGUGGACCAGAGACGAGACUGUUUUAUGGGCUUUGAUGAGGAUGAUGGUGCUGCCACUAACAUACAUGAUGAAACAAGGUUUCCCUAUCUCCUUGCUCCACUUCCACAGCCCAAUCUGCCCUCACCCCCACCCCUCGGCUCAUUCGCAGGCAUCAGGGUGGUCACCUUUGACCCGUGCCUUGCAGCCCCGUCUGAAAGAUGAGACAGAGAGCAGUUGUUUCGUGAGACAUCCAAGAGGAUAAAUGUCUGUUUGUUUAAACACCCAAGCCAGUCAUUCUAUCAUUUGAAGCAUUCACAUCACAGCGCAAUGCCCCUGCCCAGUAAAAACGAGUAUUAUUUCUCCCUUGAACUAAUGCACAGAGCCCUGCUGUUCUAACUGUCAUCUGUUAAAUUUCAGGACGUAACCUUGAGUCUAGCGUCUCCCCCCAUCUCCCCCUGGCUUUCAGCAAGCCCAUGGCAUCUUCAGAGGUUGGAGACUCUUGAAGUGUGAUCCAUUUAGAUAGUGGUUACUUUCUUCCUGUGCACACAACCACUCGCACACACACACACACACACACACACACACACACACACACACACACACACACACACACACACACACACACACACACACACACACACACGUGUGCCCGGACAAACACACACACACACAAUCACGUACACGCAGUCAUGCAGUUUUUUUGGUUGAAAGUCAUCCCAGAUAAGCUUGACAGACAGGUAGUAAAUGUUUGGAAAGUGUAUGUCGUGAGUCUGCUAAAUGACUCAAAUGUAAAUGUAAAUGUUAUGGUUAUAUGCUUCUUUAGGUACAUUUAUACUAUUUACAGUUUUAAAAUAGACAAGCAAUAACACCAUUAUAGUGUUUUAUUUUCAGGGUUUCAACUUCGAUCAGUUUCAAUGCCUGCUCAUUGCCUUCGACUUCAUUCAAAUACAUUCUGUUGUCCAAAUCAUCCCCAUAUGGUCCAUAUCAUCCCCCGUACGCUGUAUGUGAAGGUUUACAUUGAACAUUCCAGCCUUGUAUAUCAUCUCACUUACAUUCGCCUCACUCCAGCCCCACAUCUCCCCAUGCUCCAUCCCUCUAUUUUCUUAUGUUUUCCUCCUCUCCUCUCUCUCUCUCUAUUUCUCUCUCUCUCUCUCUCUCUCUCUCUAUUUCUCUAUUCCUCUCUCUCUAUUUCUCUUUUUCUCUUUUUCUCUAUUCCUCUCUCUUUUCUCUCUCUCUCUCUCUCUCUCUCUCUCUCUCUCUCUCUCUCUCUAUUUCUCUAUUCCUCUCUCUCUAUUUCUCUUUUUCUCUAUUCCUCUCUUUCGCUCUCUUUUUCUCUCUCUCUCUCUCUCUCUCUCUCUCUUUUUCUCUCUCUUUCUAUCUCUCUGUCUUUCUAUCGGUCUCUCUUUUCUCUGGCUCCUCUGGCUGGUCCCCCUGUGGCACACCGUGUCGUGUCCCUAAUUUAUUUAUAAUUAGUGCUCUUUGUCGGGAUGCGCGGGGAAUGUUAAAGUACAAGCCACUCCGCUCUGGGUACAAAUGGGCUAGUGUUCCUGCCUCUCCUCAACCCACCAACAUAGCGACCCACCGGCCAGUAGGGAGAGCUCUGCUGCUAGCCGCAACCACAGCCCCAGACAAAGGCCAGCACCUUCGGACGCAGCGGCACACACACGCGUACACGCACGGACGGACGCGGGCAUAUGCACACACGCUCACACAGAUCUACCGGUAAAUGGUUGAGACUGAACGGAAAGCGACGUACAGACUGCUUUUCUGCGUUAGUAAUAGGUGUUUGUUAUUGCGUUGCAAUUUUGAACAUUAUUUAGGGCGUAUUUGAAAAGGGUCCUGAGUGAAAUGUGAACGUGUUAGUGCAGAGUGUUCGUUUCUAGGUUUGCUUUGGUUGUUGGUGUAGAAAGACUGGGUAUGAAUUAUCACUGUUAGCAUUUCUUAUCACGUCUAUUAACGUCAACUCUGUCAUACUUCAUUAACCUCACCAAGAAUGGCAGUAGUGACAGGACACACACACA